UCUCCAUUAACUGAAGCAGUUUGCUGUGACACAUAUAACACAGCAUGAGGGUUGCGCUCGUUAACCGACUGAACGGGACACUUCACAGCACGAGCUGACGACAACCGUGCAACACCUGUCACCGAGUUCCUUGCGGCACAGCCCUAUUUCUAGGGCCUCCUCGGGAUGUCAAGCCUGGGUAAGGUUCUUCGCUUAGUGUCGAAUUAAACCACACGCUCCACCACUUGUGCGGGUCCCCGUCAAUUCCUUUGAGUUUUAAACUUGCGUUCGUACUCCCCAGGCGGCACACUUAACGCGUUAGCUUCGGUCCAAAGAGGGGUCGAUACCUCCCAAGACCUAGUGUGCAUCGUUUACAGCGUGGACUAC
RNAcentral lists this unclassified non-coding RNA (366 nucleotides) under uncultured bacterium. RNAcentral describes it as "contains 16S-23S intergenic spacer region". The record is from RNAcentral.